AGCCGCCUGCGUCGCAGUCGAACGAAGUAACUUAGUGGCGACGGGUGAGUAACAUGUAGUAUCUGCCCUUUGGCCCGGAAUAACACGAGGAAACUUGUGCUAUACUGGAUAAUCUUUACGGAAAAGCUUUAUGCACCAUUGGAUGAGCCUGCACUUGAUUAGUUUGUUGGGGGGUAAGGCCUACCAAGACUGUGAUCAAUAGCUGAUUUGAGAGGUGAUCACCACUUGGGACUGAGACACGGCCCAAACUCCUACGGGAGGCAGCAGGGGGAAUCUUGCACAAUGGAGAAACUCUGAUGCAGCGAUGCCGCGUGAGUGAAAAGGCCUUUGGGUUGUAAAGCUCUUUCGUCGGGAAAAAAUGACUGUACCCGAAUAAAAGGUCCGGCUAACUUCGUGCCAGCAGCCGCGGUAAUACGAAGGGACCUAGCGUAUUCGGAAUUACUGGGCUUAAAGAGUUCGUAGGUGGUUGAAAAAGUUGGUGGGAAAUCCCAGAGCUUAACUCUGGAACUGCCAUCAAAACUUUUCAGCUAGAGUAUGAUAGAGGAAAGCAGAAUUUCUAGUGUAGAGGUGAAAUUCGUAGAUAUUAGAAAGAAUACCAAUUGCGAAGGCAGCUUUCUGGAUCAUUACUGACACUGAGGAACGAAAGCAUGGGUAGCGAAGAGGAUUAGAUACCCUCGUAGUCCAUGCCGUAAACGAUGUGUGUUAGACGUUGGAAAUUUAUUUUCAGUGUCGCAGCGAAAGCAAUAAACACACCGCCUGGGGAGUACGACCGCAAGGUUAAAACUCAAAUGAAUUGAGGGACCCGCACAAGUAGUGGAGUGUGGUUUAAUUCGAAGAUACGCGCAGAACCUUACCAACCUUGACAUGUUCGUCGCGACUUUAAGAGAUUAGAGUUUUCGUUCGGCCGACGACACGCUGCAUGGCUGUCGUCAGCUCGUGUCGUGAGAUGUGGGUUAAGUCCCGCAACGAGCGCAGCCCACUUUUACAUCAUUAGUGGCCUCUAAGACUGCCUGAAAGCUGGAGAUGGGUGACGCCAGUCUCAUCUGGCUACACUAAUUACAACAGGGG
RNAcentral lists this ribosomal RNA (1068 nucleotides) under uncultured Alphaproteobacteria bacterium. Its description in RNAcentral is "bacterial SSU rRNA". It matches the Rfam family "Bacterial small subunit ribosomal RNA", at positions 60 to 1168 of the family's 1533-position model. Lineage: Bacteria; Pseudomonadati; Pseudomonadota; Alphaproteobacteria. The record is from RNAcentral.